This 576-nucleotide long non-coding RNA is filed under the name Triticum aestivum (bread wheat). RNAcentral's name for it is "long non-coding RNA (TAES_LNC025312)". Lineage: Eukaryota; Viridiplantae; Streptophyta; Magnoliopsida; Poales; Poaceae. The record is from RNAcentral.
UGGAAAGAUACGUUCAGAGAAGGACAACAUCAAGAGAAAAUAAGUAAUAGCAAGGCAGUCUUGAUGAUGGCACUUAUCAAGAACAAGACACGCAUUCUCUUUUGUGUUGCUCUUUUGUUGACGCGUACCACUUUUCUGUGUGGCCUAGCAGCAGCGGGGAGGGACGUCGGUAAUUUCCAAAUUAGUUUCCUAGAUGAGUUUCUUGAUAUAAAACAAACCCACAUGAUUACGUAUCAUUCUUUCCAUACAUAUUAAUUUGUAUGUUGUGGUGCUUCCUUCAUUGUGUUUAGGUACCAAGGCUGCAUUUGGAAUCCAAUGUUUUACUUACUCAGUGUUCAUGGACUCAUAUCAGUAUGCCAUUGAUUGCUGCAAGAAGGAGUGCAAAAUACUUGGUUAUGACGGCCAGAAAGGCUUCUGCAAGAAGGUGAAUCAUGGCGUGUGUUGUUGUGCCUAAAGCUAAAGACAUGUUAUAUUGUCAUUUUGUAGAAAAUCAUUGCAUGUAUUUGCCUUUCAGGAUACUAAUUUAUAUGGAUUAUACGAGAAUUUCAAUAACAUAUGCUGGUAGUUGCUUCCGAA